Molecule: long non-coding RNA, 2305 nt
Organism: Macaca fascicularis (crab-eating macaque)
Lineage: Eukaryota; Metazoa; Chordata; Mammalia; Primates; Cercopithecidae
Source: Ensembl
AGGGUGGGUGAAGCUGUUUAGAGUGUUCACUGCUGCUGUGAAAAGCUUGCAACUGUUUCAGUUAUUACUCAGAAAUGACCAGCACACCUAAGACUUAAAGUCACUAAUCAGACUCAAAGAAAACUGCCAGGCCUUCUGGAAGGUUAUAGAAAGCAUCUACCCGGUGUCCUAUUGGCACAAAAGAACUUAGAAUUCUUUCUCUGGCUUUUUUGUUUUCAUUGUUUCUUCCCUUUCAUGUUCAUUCUGCACCUGAAACCUACUUAAUUAUUCACCACCACCUUCUCCAUGCCUCAUCAAUAAUGGAUAACACCUGCGAUGGAAAACUCCCCCAGCAGCGCAAAGGCGGUUGAGAUGGAAGCAUGAAGAGGAAGAGCCACCUGCCACACCCAAGGGAGAAACCAAGCACUGAGACACCAGUCUGUCUCAAGGCCUGGUCUCUCCCGCACGGCUCCCCCAUACCAGCAAGGCCCCUUAACUCUGUGCUUACCAGACUUUUUGCAUCAUGGCACACAGGGAAAUGUUAAUAUUUGUACAAUACACUGGGUCACACAGAGAGGACCUGGAGGCCAUGAUGAGGCUGCACAAGGGCUGAAGACAACGUGCCUAGUGGCCCAGGUGACUCCCCAUCCCCAAAGUCCGGGAGGAUCAUCAGCACUGGUUGAAAAGCGCUGCCUUAAUUUAUGAAAGGGUCUUUACAGCAAAUUCUUUUGACAAUGGCAGUCCCUUGGGAAUAAAGUUAAACAACUUCUCCUUCUGAGCAGUCCACCAUGGACCUACUCUUUCUUCAGGACAACACCUCCUCUUCUCCAUUUCCACAGCCUGCCCUAGUCCCAGCUUUCUCUGGUGUGGCCCCCUGCCCCAUCUCCAUGCUGGCUCUCACACACCUUCCCUUUUAUGCCACUUUGGUUUCACCAUCCAUCGAUCACUUCGGGAUCUGCAAAUCUGCCUCCUCGCAGCCAGACAACGAAACAAACGCAGCCCAGGAGUUGGUAAUGGUUGACAAGAUCAGUAGGAAAGGACAAGGCCAGCAGCCGCUCUGCCCUAAAUCUGAAAUCCAGUAGCUGACAUGGGACGAUGCCAGAUACCAAAUGUGGCAGGCAGCCUUCUCAAAUGGCUCCCAAUCAUUUCUACCUCCUGGUAUUCAGCCUCUUGGGUAAAUCUCCUCCCUGGGGAGGGAGCAUGGCAGAGUGACUUACUCUAAGCAAUAAAAUACAGCAAAGAUGACAGGAUAUCACCUGUGAUUGGGUUACAAAAAACCAUGACUUCCAUCUUGCUAUCAGACUCCAUAACCUUCUUAUCCUGCAUACUUUAUGAAGCAAGAUGCCAAGUGUCAGAGAGUUCUAAAAAUGUUUAUUGAAUGAGUGGAUGAUAAAUUGUAAGAUGCACUUUCAACUUUUGAUUAAGGACAGUAGUCACAAACUCUCUGUAGUUCACUGGCAAAACAAGGAACAGCAUAGCUUUGAGGCCGUAUUUCUUAUUCCUAUAUAUAGCUGGUGUUCAACAAAACACAAAGGUAUUAGCAGAGAAACAGCUAUGACAGCUCAGCUCAAUCACUUUGCAUAGCAGAUGGUUGAGAACACAUUUAUAUCUCUGAUACUAUUUGCUUGUGUAAGAAGUUUCCCAUCCUUUUCUGAGGUCUGCCUGGAAAAUACACUGGGUUCCAUUCCUGCUGCCCUGGCAGCGGGUCCUUUGGUUCUAAGGUUAUGCUUUUGAAUAAGCUUCUGGGAUGUUGACUUAGAGGGUCUGCCAGCCCCAUUUUUCUAAACAGUCUGGAUCAUAUAAGAAAACAAAGUUAGUUUUAGAGCCGACACUGGAAUGUAUACUCUUCUGCAGCAGGUAAGGGGAAAAUCAGAGAUAAGGAUGCUUGGAGUGUUUUUCCUCUUAACACCACACACAGACUGGGGCUAACUAUCCUAGAACCACCCUUCUUCCCUUCCCUAAGAAUACAUCACAUUUCAGCCAAGAAUCGAUCCACUUGGGGAAACAGGGCUCCAACUGAACACAUAUUAAUUCCAAAUUCUGUCUACUUGAUUUCAGAUCCCAUUUCAACUUCAUCCUUUGCUAACCACAUCCUGGAAAAAUUUUGUCUGGCCAGAACUCUGCAAGGUGUAAUCAGCAAGAGGAAAUCUCUCAGUUCAGAAUACCUUAACAAGAAUCCUUCACAAAAAAUGGAAUCCUUUGGCAGCAAGACAGUUCUUUUCACUUGUCCUUGUAAGCUUGACAACACAACAGCAAGGUCGACAGGAUAAGAUGCUGCUAACAAGUCUUAAUGAAUUAGCAUGUGCACUUGACCUUGAUCAGAAGU